RNAcentral lists this unclassified non-coding RNA (383 nucleotides) under uncultured Lysobacteraceae bacterium. RNAcentral describes it as "uncultured Xanthomonadaceae bacterium contains 16S-23S intergenic spacer region". Lineage: Bacteria; Pseudomonadati; Pseudomonadota; Gammaproteobacteria; Lysobacterales; Lysobacteraceae. The record is from RNAcentral.
UCCGGCUUGUCACCGGCAGUUUCUUCAGAGUGCCCGGCAUCACCCGAUGGCAACUGAAGAUGGGGGUUGCGCUCGUUGCGGGACUUAACCCAACAUCUCACGACACGAGCUGACGACAGCCAUGCAGCACCUGUGCUCCGGCCAGCCGAACUGAAGAACCGCGUCUCCACGGUCCACACCGGACAUGUCAAGGCCAGGUAAGGUUCUUCGCGUUGCAUCGAAUUAAACCACAUACUCCACCGCUUGUGCGGGCCCCCGUCAAUUCCUUUGAGUUUCAGUCUUGCGACCGUACUCCCCAGGCGGCGAACUUAACGCGUUAGCUUCGAUACUGCGUGCCAAAUUGCACCCAACAUCCAGUUCGCAUCGUUUAGGGCGUGGACUAC